UCAGGCCUAACACAUGCAAGUCGAACGGCAGCACGGACUUCGGUCUGGUGGCGAGUGGCGAACGGGUGAGUAAUGUAUCGGAACGUGCCUAGUAGCGGGGGAUAACUACUCGAAAGAGUAGCUAAUACCGCAUACGCCCUACGGGGGAAAGGGGGGGAUCGCAAGACCCCUCACUAUUAGAGCGGCCGAUAUCGGAUUAGCUAGUUGGUGAGGUAAAGGCUCACCAAGGCGACGAUCCGUAGCUGGUUUGAGAGGACGACCAGCCACACUGGGUCUGAGACACGGCCCAGACUCCUACGGGAGGCAGCAGUGGGGAAUUUUGGACAAUGGGGGCAACCCUGAUCCAGCCAAGCCGCGUGUGCGAUGAAGGCCUUCGGGUUGAAAGCACAAGGGCAGGAAAGAAAUCGCACGGGUAAUACCCGUG
Molecule: ribosomal RNA, 424 nt
Filed under: uncultured bacterium
Lineage: Bacteria
Description: bacterial SSU rRNA
Rfam family: Bacterial small subunit ribosomal RNA
Source: RNAcentral